RNAcentral lists this ribosomal RNA (498 nucleotides) under uncultured bacterium. RNAcentral describes it as "partial 16S ribosomal RNA". It matches the Rfam family "Bacterial small subunit ribosomal RNA", at positions 30 to 523 of the family's 1533-position model. The record is from RNAcentral.
AUUGAACGCUGGCGGCAUGCCUUACACAUGCAAGUCGAACGGUAACAGGUCUUCGGAUGCUGACGAGUGGCGAACGGGUGAGUAAUACAUCGGAACGUGCCUAGUAGUGGGGGAUAACUACUCGAAAGAGUGGCUAAUACCGCAUGAGAUCUACGGAUGAAGGCAGGGGAUCGCAAGACCUUGUGCUACUAGAGCGGCCGAUGGCAGAUUAGGUAGUUGGUGGGAUAAAAGCUUACCAAGCCGACGAUCUGUAGCUGGUCUGAGAGGACGAUCAGCCACACUGGGACUGAGACACGGCUCAGACUCCUACGGGAGGCAGCAGUGGGGAAUUUUGGACAAUGGGCGAAAGCCUGAUCCAGCAAUGCCGCGUGCAGGAUGAAGGCCUUCGGGUUGUAAACUGCUUUUGUACGGAACGAAAAGCCCUGGGUUAAUACCCUGGGGUCAUGACGGUACCGUAAGAAUAAGCACCGGCUAACUACGUGCCAGCAGCCGCCGUAA